UUCUAGAAGUGUGGGUACAAGGUUUCCGUAGGUGAACCUGCGGAAGGA
Molecule: ribosomal RNA, 48 nt
Filed under: Melica scabrosa
Lineage: Eukaryota; Viridiplantae; Streptophyta; Magnoliopsida; Poales; Poaceae
Description: partial 18S ribosomal RNA
Source: RNAcentral